Molecule: ribosomal RNA, 497 nt
Filed under: uncultured bacterium
Lineage: Bacteria
Description: partial 16S ribosomal RNA
Rfam family: Bacterial small subunit ribosomal RNA
Source: RNAcentral
GAUGAACGCUGGCGGCGUGCCUAAUACAUGCAAGUCGAGCGAACGGACGAGAAGCUUGCUUCCCUGAUGUUAGCGGCGGACGGGUGAGUAACACGUGGAUAACCUACCUCUAAGACUGGGAUAACUACGGGAAACCGGAGCUAAUACCGGAUAAUAUUUUGAACCGCUUGGUUCAAAAGUGAAAGACGGUCUUGCUGUCACUUAUAGAUGGAUCCGCGCUGCAUUAGCUAGUUGGUAAGGUAACGGCUUACCAAGGCAACGAUGCAUAGCCGACCUGAGAGGGUGAUCAGCCACACUGGAACUGAGACACGGUCCAGACUCCUACGGGAGGCAGCAGUAGGGAAUCUUCCGCAAUGGGCGAAAGCCUGACGGAGCAACGCCGCGUGAGUGAUGAAGGUCUUCGGAUCGUAAAACUCUGUUAUUAGGGAAGAACAUAUGUGUAAGUAACUGUGCACAUCUUGACGGUACCUAAUCAGAAAGCCACGGCUAACUACGUG